AGGUAGAGCUUUUGUUAUGUUGUGUGGUGAAUGUCGGGUGAUGAUUUUGGGGCUCCUUAAGAUUCUCUCACUGAGCUUUUGUCUAAAUGCUCACCCCUUCUUCUUCCCUUUCCAUUUCAGGUUCGGUUCACGUUGUUGGGUUUUUGUCAAAGACGUCCUGAAAUACUAAAAAUGCAUUGUUUCGGCCUUGUGACUAGAGAUAAGUGUCAUGAUAUCACCGACCAUUUCAGCAAUGCUGGGUCGGGAUGUCACAUUAAAUCUUUUUCUUUGUUAGCUUGUCUCUUUGCAGUAAGCCUUUCAGGUAUGGCUUCUCAUGUCCUAAUCCAGCAAACCCUUGAUAUAAUGUGCGACUGAACCAAUAUUGAUUGAGAAUGGGUUGUCUGUGCCUUUUCUGGAUUAAUCCCAACCAAGUAACAGAGAUGAUGUCUGGUCCGGAGCCUUGUGAUUGACUGUG
This 454-nucleotide long non-coding RNA is filed under the name Brassica napus (rape). Its description in RNAcentral is "long non-coding RNA (BNAP_LNC008417)". Lineage: Eukaryota; Viridiplantae; Streptophyta; Magnoliopsida; Brassicales; Brassicaceae. The record is from RNAcentral.